GGGUUUGUAGCUCAGGUGGUUAGAGCGCACGCCUGAUAAGCGUGAGGUCGGAAGUUCAACUCUUCCCAGGCCCACCA
This 77-nucleotide transfer RNA is filed under the name Ehrlichia japonica. RNAcentral's name for it is "tRNA-Ile (GAT) (tRNA-Ile-GAT-1-1)". It matches the Rfam family "tRNA". Rfam says of the family: Transfer RNA (tRNA) molecules are approximately 80 nucleotides in length. Their secondary structure includes four short double-helical elements and three loops (D, anti-codon, and T loops). Lineage: Bacteria; Pseudomonadati; Pseudomonadota; Alphaproteobacteria; Rickettsiales; Anaplasmataceae. The record is from RNAcentral. RNAcentral also lists the same sequence under 4 other names.